CCGAGUUGUAAUUUGUAGAGGAUGCUUCGGGUGCGACCGCGGUCUAAGUCCCCUGGAACGGGGCGUCGCAGAGGGUGAGAAUCCCGUCUUCGGCCGGCCGGCCGCGCCCGUGUGAAGCUCCUUCGACGAGUCGAGUUGUUUGGGAAUGCAGCUCUAAAUGGGUGGUAAAUUUCAUCUAAAGCUAAAUACUGGUCGGAGACCGAUAGCGCACAAGUAGAGUGAUCGAAAGAUGAAAAGCACUUUGAAAAGAGAGUUAAACAGCAUGUGAAAUUGUUGAAAGGGAAGCGCUUGCGACCAGAGUCGGCCGCGGGGGUUCAGCGGGCAUUCGUUGCCCGUGCACUCCCCCGGGGCCGGGCCAGCGUCGGUUUCGACGGCCGGUCAAAGGCCCCCGGAAUGUGUCGCCUCUCGGGGCGUCUUAUAGCCGGGGGUGCAAUGCGGCCAGUCGGGACCGAGGAACGCGCUUCGGCACGGACGCUGGCUUAAUGGUCGUAAGCGACCCGUCUUGAAACACGGACCAAGGAGUCUAACAUCCACGCGAGUGUUCGGGUGUCAAACCCGUCCGCGCAGUGAAAGCGAACGGAGGUGGGAACCCUCAAGGGUGCACCAUCGACCGAUCCUGAAGUCUUCGGAUGGAUUUGAGUAAGA
RNAcentral lists this ribosomal RNA (645 nucleotides) under Blastomyces helicus. Its description in RNAcentral is "eukaryotic LSU rRNA". It matches the Rfam family "Eukaryotic large subunit ribosomal RNA", at positions 138 to 799 of the family's 3401-position model. The record is from RNAcentral. Lineage: Eukaryota; Fungi; Ascomycota; Eurotiomycetes; Onygenales; Ajellomycetaceae. RNAcentral also lists the same sequence under 1 other name.